CAUAGCGUAUAUUAAAGUUGUUGCAGUUAAAAAGCUCGUAGUUGGAUUUCUGGGAGGGUGCCAAUGUCCGUCGUCGUACGUGUUGCAGCGGCGCCCUUCCAUCCUUCUGUUAACGACUUUGGGCAUUCACUUGCCGGAGUCGGGCUCAGAUAUUUUACCUUGAGAAAAUUAGAGUGUUUCAGGCAGGCUAGGCCGGAAUACAUUAGCAUGGAAUAAUGGAAUAGGACUACGGUCUCUUUGUUGGUUUGAGGGACUGCAGUAAUGAUUAAUAGGGAUAGUUGGGGGCAUUAGUAUUUAAUUGUCAGAGGUGGAAUUCUCGGAUUUGUUAAAGACUAACUUAUGCGAAAGCAUUUGCCAAGGAUGUUUUCAUUAAUCAAGAACGAAAGUUAGGGGAUCAAAGACGAUCAGAUACCGUCCUAGUCUUAACCAUAAACUAUGCCGACUCGGGAUCGGGGGCGCGAACUAUCCGCCUUCGGCACCGUAUGAGAAAUCAAAGUCUU
Molecule: ribosomal RNA, 500 nt
Filed under: uncultured marine picoplankton
Lineage: Eukaryota
Description: SSU rRNA
Rfam family: Eukaryotic small subunit ribosomal RNA
Source: RNAcentral